Molecule: ribosomal RNA, 485 nt
Filed under: uncultured Pseudomonas sp.
Lineage: Bacteria; Pseudomonadati; Pseudomonadota; Gammaproteobacteria; Pseudomonadales; Pseudomonadaceae
Description: bacterial SSU rRNA
Rfam family: Bacterial small subunit ribosomal RNA
Source: RNAcentral
GAAACUCAAAGGAAUUGACGGGGGCCCGCACAAGCGGUGGAGCAUGUGGUUAAUUCGAAGCAACGCGAAGAACCUUACCAGGCCUUGACAUGCAGAGAACUUUCCAGAGAUGGAUUGGUGCCUUCGGGAACUCUGACACAGGUGCUGCAUGGCUGUCGUCAGCUCGUGUCGUGAGAUGUUGGGUUAAGUCCCGCAACGAGCGCAACCCUUGCCUUUAGUUGCCAGCAGUUCGGCUGGGCACUCUAAAGGGACUGCCGGUGUUAAACCGGAGGAAGGUGGGGAUGACGUCAAGUCCUCAUGGCCUUUAUGACCAGGGCUACACACGUACUACAAUGGCCGAUACAAAGGGCAGCGACACUGCGAGGUGAAGCCAAUCCCGUAAAACCGAUCGUAGUCCGGAUCGCAGUCUGCAACUCGACUGCGUGAAGUCGGAAUCGCUAGUAAUCGUGAAUCAGAAUGUCACGGUGAAUACGUUCCCGGGCCUU